GACGAACGCUGGCGGCGUGCUUAACACAUGCAAGUCGAACGGAAAGGCCCUGCUUUUGUGGGGUGCUCGAGUGGCGAACGGGUGAGUAACACGUGAGUAACCUGCCCUUGACUUUGGGAUAACUUCAGGAAACUGGGGCUAAUACCGGAUAGGGGCUCCUGCUGCAUGGUGGGGGUUGGAAAGUUUCGGCGGUUGGGGAUGGACUCGCGGCUUAUCAGCUUGUUGGUGGGGUAGUGGCUUACCAAGGCUUUGACGGGUAGCCGGCCUGAGAGGGUGACCGGCCACAUUGGGACUGAGAUACGGCCCAGACUCCUACGGGAGGCAGCAGUGGGGAAUAUUGCACAAUGGGCGGAAGCCUGAUGCAGCAACGCCGCGUGCGGGAUGACGGCCUUCGGGUUGUAAACCGCUUUCGCCUGUGACGAAGCGUGAGUGACGGUAAUGGGUAAAGAAGCACCGGCUAACUACGUGCCAACAGCCGCGGUGAUACGUAAGGUGCGAGCGUUGUCCCGAUUUAUUGGGCGUAAAGGGCUCGUAGGUGGUUGAUCGCGUCGGAAGUGUAAUCUUGGGGCUUAACCCUGAGCGUGCUUUCGAUACGGGUUGACUUGAGGAAGGUAGGGGAGAAUGGAAUUCCUGGUGGAGCGGUGGAAUGCGCAGAUAUCAGGAGGAACACCAGUGGCGAAGGCGGUUCUCUGGGCCUUUCCUGACGCUGAGGAGCGAAAGCGUGGGGAGCGAACAGGCUUAGAUACCCUGGUAGUCCACGCUGUAAACGGUGGGUACUAGGUGUGGGGUCCAUUCCACGGGUUCCGUGCCGUAGCUAACGCUUUAAGUACCCCGCCCGGGGAGUACGGCCGCAAGGCUAAAACUCAAAGGAAUUGACGGGGCCCCGCACAAGCGGCGGAGCAUGCGGAUUAAUUCGAUGCAACGCGUAGAACCUUACCUGGGUUUGACAUGGAUCGGGAGUGCUCAGAGAUGGGUGUGCCUCUUUUGGGGUCGGUUCACAGGUGGUGCAUGGCUGUCGUCAGCUCGUGUCGUGAGAUGUUGGGUUAAGUCCCGCAACGAGCGCAACCCUUGUUCACUGUUGCCAGCACGUUAUGGUGGGGACUCAGUGGAGACCGCCGGGGUCAACUCGGAGGAAGGUGGGGAUGACGUCAAGUCAUCAUGCCCCUUAUGUCCAGGGCUUCACGCAUGCUACAAUGGCUGGUACAGAGAGUGGCGAGCCUGUGAGGGUGAGCGAAUCUCGGAAAGCCGGUCUCAGUUCGGAUUGGGGUCUGCAACUCGACCUCAUGAAGUCGGAGUCGCUAGUAAUCGCAGAUCAGCAACGCUGCGGUGAAUACGUUCCCGGGGCU
This 1346-nucleotide ribosomal RNA is filed under the name uncultured bacterium. RNAcentral's name for it is "partial 16S ribosomal RNA". It matches the Rfam family "Bacterial small subunit ribosomal RNA", at positions 28 to 1381 of the family's 1533-position model. The record is from RNAcentral.